UAUUAGCCAAUAGCCAUGGUUCAAAACGACACCUUGACGCUGUUUGCCUUUUCUUCUUUCUUCGAUGAAUUGUCUCCUAUUCGUUAAUCCAACGAGAUUCCAAUUUCCAUACUCUGCUCCCUUAUCCGCGGGGAAAGCAAGGAAGUGUGCUUCAUUCAAAUACUAUGCUUUCGUCGAUUCACUGUCCCACUGGUUCGUUUCUGUUUCUCCUGCCCUCAUCACCAAAACAUGGACAUCGUGGUUCGAGGGAGGCACAUUCGAGAACUGGGUUAUGUAAUGUCGUGAGCAAACCAAGACCAAGAGCAAUGAUCUCUGCGACCCAGGAAGGCAAACCUGAAGUGGGUCUUCAAGUUGGCGAGCGGCUUUAUCUUGGGAUGGACUUUGGCACGUCCGGUGCCAGGUUUGCCCUCAUCGACAAGCGAGGGACUAUCCACGCCGAAGGGAGGAGGGAGUAUCCGCCGUAUAAGAAAGAGCAAAGAAACAAUGGAUUGGAUACGUUCUUGGAAAUCGACACUUUUCUUGCUGCUUGAAGACAUUCCACUUCAUCUUCGCGAAUUUGUUGUUUCCAUUUCUCUUGAUGGGACUUCUGCGACUACCAUAAUUGUGGACAGCACAACUGGAGAACCAUUGUGUAGACCUUUGCUCUACAAUGAGAGUUGUUCUGAUGCUUUACCGACAGUAAAAUCUAUUGCUCCUGCAAACCAUACAGUUUGCUCUGGGUCCUCGACUUUGUGCAAGCUCGUCUCCUGGUGGAACAUGGUCGAUUCAGAUAAAAAACUUGCAACAUUGUUGCAUCAAGCGGAUUGGCUUUUGUGGCUUCUUCAUGGAAAUCUCGGAGUGACUGAUUACAAUAAUGCUCUGAAGGUUGGCUAUGAUCCUGAACUUGACUCUUAUCCACAUUGGUUGCUCGCGCAGCCCUAUUCUCAAUUUUUACCAUCUGUUAAAGCUCCUGGAACUCCAAUUGGAUUUUUGAAAGAGGACGUUAAAACAAAAUAUGGUAUGUCUUCAUCCCACUGAGUAGUCCGGUAACGAAGGCUAUGUGCCUUUGUACUUUUCUGUUUAGACUCGAUGUAGUCCGGUAAUGAAAGCUAUAAGCCAUUUUGCUUUUCUACUUAGACUCAAUUCUUAGGUACGUUGGUGUCAAUUAGAAGAUUGUUCAAAUUGUUUUCCACUGGGGUCUCACAGUUAAGGGGAUACAUUCCAUCAGAAGAUCUCCACAUCUAAAAAAAAAUCCAUUGGACUAUUUGGUGUAAUUUCACUUUUACCAAAACACAUCCAUGCAGGUUUUCCAAAGGAUUGUGUUGUAUGCACGGGAACCACAGAUAGUAUAGCGGCUUUUCUUGCAGCUCAGGCAACACAACCGGGGAAAGCUGUCACUUCUUUGGGUUCAACCCUUGCUGUCAAGCUACUAAGCACCAGUAGGAUUGACGAUGCACGAUAUGGGGUGUACAGUCAUCGUCUUGAUGAUAAGUGGCUAGUUGGAGGUGCAUCAAAUACCGGUGGAGCUGUUCUUCGACAAAUUUUUACUGAUGAGCAGUUGGAGCACUUAAGUGAACAGAUUGAUCCCAUGAAAACGUCUCCGCUAGACUACUACCCUCUGCCAACUGUGGGAGAGAGAUUUCCUGUGGCAGAUCCAAAUAUGGCUCCUAGGUUACAUCCACGACCAAAGAGUGAUGUGGCCUAUUUGCACGGGAUUUUCGAAUCAAUUGCCCGCAUUGAGGCAAAUGCUUAUGGGUUGCUGAAGGAUCUAGGAGCAACCCAAGUUGAAGAAGUGUUCACGGCUGGAGGUGGUGCAAAAAAUGCCAAAUGGAUCAAGAUACGUGAGAGAGUGCUGGGUUUGCCUGUGAGUCCUGCAAUUCAGACACAGGCUGCGUAUGGAGCUGCUUUAUUGGCGUUGAAGGGCGCUCAACAAGGCGUCCAAGGAGUAUAGGAAUAGUAUAUGUUUGGGUUGAAGCCAAUGGAGGCAGAAAGCAAACUUUCAGUGCUGAAUCAUGUGUGGUAACAAUUUCUAGUAUCAUGUAUUCACUUAUAUAUAUACGCACGUGUGUGUAUUUGUACACUUACACGCACACUCUCUCUAUUAAUAACUAGUUCAUUAGACAUUCACAGGCAAACCAAGCACUCUCUCUAUUCAUAACUAGUGCAUUGUGAGAAUUAAUGCCAACAAAUUUUACUGAGUUGAAUGAA
RNA transcript from Juglans regia (Persian walnut), 2187 nucleotides. It is a transcript of the gene named D-ribulose kinase, with no coding region annotated. The transcript is spliced from 8 exons. Lineage: Eukaryota; Viridiplantae; Streptophyta; Magnoliopsida; Fagales; Juglandaceae. The record is from RefSeq and is a predicted model, not a curated record.